CAGCAGCCGCGGGAAUACAGAGGGUGCGAGCGUUAAUCGGAUUUACUGGGCGUAAAGCGUGCGUAGGCGGCUUCUUAAGUCGGAUGUGAAAUCCCUGAGCUUAACUUAGGAAUUGCAUUCGAUACUGGGAAGCUAGAGUAUGGGAGAGGAUGGUACAAUUCCAGGUGUAGCGGUGAAAUGCGUAGAGAUCUGGAGGAAUACCGAUGGCGAAGGCAGCCAUCUGGCCUAAUACUGACGCUGAGGUACGAAAGCAUGGGGAGCAAACAGGAUUAGAUACCCGAGUAGUCCCUGUCUCUUAUAC
Molecule: ribosomal RNA, 301 nt
Filed under: uncultured bacterium
Lineage: Bacteria
Description: partial 16S ribosomal RNA
Rfam family: Bacterial small subunit ribosomal RNA
Source: RNAcentral